Molecule: ribosomal RNA, 459 nt
Filed under: uncultured bacterium
Lineage: Bacteria
Description: partial 16S ribosomal RNA
Rfam family: Bacterial small subunit ribosomal RNA
Source: RNAcentral
CCUACGGGAGGCAGCAGUGAGGAAUAUUGGUCAAUGGCCGCAGGGCUGAACCAGCCAAGUCGCGUGAGGGAUGACGGUCCUAUGGAUUGUAAACCUCUUUUGUCAGGGAGCAAAGGGCGCCACGUGUGGCGUUUUGCGAGUACCUGAAGAAAAAGCAUCGGCUAACUCCGUGCCAGCAGCCGCGGUAAUACGGAGGAUGCGAGCGUUAUCCGGAUUUAUUGGGUUUAAAGGGUGCGCAGGCGGAAUGUCAAGUCAGCGGUAAAAUUUCGGGGCUCAACCCCGUCGUGCCGUUGAAACUGGCGGUCUUGAGUGAGCUAGAAGUAGGUGGAAUGCGUGGUGUAGCGGUGAAAUGCAUAGAUAUCACGCAGAACUCCGAUUGCGAAGGCAGCAUACCGGCGCUCAACUGACGCUCAUGCACGAAAGCGUGGGUAUCGAACAGGAUUAGAUACCCCGGUAGUC